AAAUUGAAGAGUUUGAUCAUGGCUCAGAUUGAACGCUGGCGGCAGGCCUAACACAUGCAAGUCGAGCGGAAACGACAUUAACAAUCCUUCGGGUGCGUUAAUGGGCGUCGAGCGGCGGACGGGUGAGUAAUGCCUAGGAAAUUGCCUUGAUGUGGGGGAUAACCAUUGGAAACGAUGGCUAAUACCGCAUGAUGCCUACGGGCCAAAGAGGGGGACCUUCGGGCCUCUCGCGUCAAGAUAUGCCUAGGUGGGAUUAGCU
RNAcentral lists this ribosomal RNA (259 nucleotides) under Vibrio cyclitrophicus. RNAcentral's name for it is "partial 16S ribosomal RNA". It matches the Rfam family "Bacterial small subunit ribosomal RNA", at positions 1 to 246 of the family's 1533-position model. The record is from RNAcentral. Lineage: Bacteria; Pseudomonadati; Pseudomonadota; Gammaproteobacteria; Vibrionales; Vibrionaceae.